Molecule: RNA transcript, 1901 nt
Organism: Nomascus leucogenys (northern white-cheeked gibbon)
Lineage: Eukaryota; Metazoa; Chordata; Mammalia; Primates; Hylobatidae
Gene name: ras-related C3 botulinum toxin substrate 1-like
Exons: 3
Source: RefSeq, a predicted model, not a curated record
UCUGGGCUCCCCCACUGUAUCAGGGCUACCUGCCUCCAUCCAGCAAAUACUUACUAAGCGCCUACCAUCUACGCCUGGCACCCAGCUAGACAUCAAGGGGGAACCAAGCCACAGUCCCUCGUCUCCGCAGGCAGAAACAGACGAGCACCGUCUGGAGGUUGCGCGGGCCGGGAAAACCUGCCACAGGUUGCUAAGACCAGCUGUACCCAGGAGACAGCAGGAUUCCCAGCAGCACCCAGCCCAGUAACGCCACAGACUCCCGGGAGCGAGGGCGGAGCGAACAGGCUGUCAGAGUCCCUCAGUGUCAAGCCCAGGGAGACACUUUUGGCCAUCUCACUGUGAGCCAGCAGGGUGUGUUCAUCUCCAGUGGGAGUUUUGGCCGCUUCCUUCCUCUGGCUCUCACCACCACUGCUACUGGCCUGUCAUCUGUUUCCUGGUCAGAACACACCAUCUCUGCCUUGUCAAUACAGAUGGCAUCAAGACAGCACUUGGCAUCCUUUCAGCUAUCUGCAAGCCUUGCAGGGUAAGGAAUACAAUACUAAAUACCUCAGAACUCUGUUGUGGCAUCCUGUAGGAGCAGCACCAGGCAUCAUCACAGUGAACGGUCACAGGAUAUCCAUCCCUCUACGCUCUGUUCUCUUUAGAGAUGGUAUUUACACUACAAACUGAAAUGCCACAACCAAAAAGGGUAGGGGCUAAGAAUGAGGUUGCUGGAUCAGUGUUACUUAGAGAUGACAUCCUAGAGAUGUUUUCAGGGUCAUCAAUCACACCGAAGACCUACCAUAUGCCAUGCACAUGUGUACCUCCUCUAAUGUCCACAAUGACUAGAAAGAAAUUUUAUCCCCUUUACAAAGAUGGAAGAGGAGGCCUAAGAGGGGUGAAGUUCCCCAAUUUUGGUUGUUUUCUUGUUUUGCUUCUUGAUCAAUUUCUCAUCCAUCUGAACUGCACUUGCUUGCUUCAUGUCACCAGAGAAUGAACUAGGACUGGAACCCAUCAGUGCCCAUGCCCUCCCCAACAUUCCAACUGCUUCCCUCCACAGGUUGCUCCCAAUCCAGAGGUGGCAGAAGAGGAAUUCCAGAGAGUUUUCCUCAGCUUUGGGUGGUGGCCGCUGCCGGGCAUCGGCUUCCAGUCCGCAGAGGGCGAGGCGGUGUGGACAGCGGCCCGGCACCCAGCGCCCCACCGCCCGCCUGUCCGCCGCGCCCCGAGCCCGCCGCUUCCUAUCUCAGCGCCCUGCCGCCUCCACCAUGGCCCAGCGAGCGGCCCUGAUGCAGGCCAUCAAGUGUGUGGUGGUGGGAGAUGGAGCUGUAGGUAAAAUUUGCCUACUGAUCAGUUACACAACCAAUGCAUUUCCUGGAGAAUAUAUUCCUACUGUCUUUGACAAUUAUUCUGCCAAUGUUAUGGUAGAUGGAAAACUGGUGAAUCUGGAAUUAUGGGAUACAGCUGGACAAGAUGAUGACAGAUUACGCCCCCUAUCCUAUCCGCAAACAGAUGUGUUCUUAAUUUGCUUUUCCCUUGUUGAGUCCUGCAUCAUUUGAAAAUGUCCGUGCAAAGUGGUAUCCUGAGGUGCGGCACCACUGUCCCAACACUCCCAUCAUCCUAGUGGGAACUAAACUUGAUCUUAGGAUGAUAAAGACACGAUUGAGAAACUGAAGAAGCAGCUGACUCCCAUCACCUAUCCAUGUCAGCAGGGUCUAGCCAUGGCUAAGGAGAUUGGUGCUGUAAAAUACCUGGAGUGCUCGGCGCUCACACAGCGAGGCCUCAAGACAGUGUUUGACGAAGUGAUCCGAGCAGUCCUCUGCCCACCUCCCGUGAAGAAGAGAAAGAGAAAAUGCCUGCUGUUGUAAAUGUCUGAGCCCCUCGUUCUUGGUCCUGUCCCUUGGAACCUUUGUACGCUUUGCUCA